UGGGGAAUUUUGGACAAUGGGCGCAAGCCUGAUCCAGCCAUGCCGCGUGAAGGAUGAAGUAUUUCGGUAUGUAAACUUCGAAAGAAUAGGAAGAAUAAAUGACGGUACUAUUUAUAAGGUCCGGCUAACUACGUGCCAGCAGCCGCGGUAAUACGUAGGGACCAAGCGUUGUUCGGAUUUACUGGGCGUAAAGGGCGCGUAGGCGGCAAUUCAAGUCAUCUGUGAAAUCUCCGGGCUUAACUCGGAACGGUCAGAUGAUACUGCUUUGCUAGAGUGCAGAAGGGGCAAUCGGAAUUCUUGGUGUAGCGGUGAAAUGCGUAGAUAUCAAGAGGAACACCUGAGGUGAAGACGGGUUGCUGGGCUGACACUGACGCUGAGGCGCGAAAGCCAGGGGAGCAAACGGGAUUAGAUACCCUCGUAGUCCCUGAGCGGGCUGGCAAGGCGCAU
Molecule: ribosomal RNA, 447 nt
Filed under: uncultured bacterium
Lineage: Bacteria
Description: bacterial SSU rRNA
Rfam family: Bacterial small subunit ribosomal RNA
Source: RNAcentral